GAGGGUAUAGCUCAGUGGUGGAGUGCAUGCUUAGGAUGUACGAGGUCCUGGGUUCAAUCCCAGGUACCUCCA
RNAcentral lists this transfer RNA (72 nucleotides) under Camelus bactrianus (Bactrian camel). It matches the Rfam family "tRNA". Rfam says of the family: Transfer RNA (tRNA) molecules are approximately 80 nucleotides in length. Their secondary structure includes four short double-helical elements and three loops (D, anti-codon, and T loops). Further hydrogen bonds mediate the characteristic L-shaped molecular structure. tRNAs have two regions of fundamental functional importance: the anti-codon, which is responsible for specific mRNA codon recognition, and the 3' end, to which the tRNAs corresponding amino acid is attached (by aminoacyl-tRNA synthetases). tRNAs cope with the degeneracy of the genetic code in two manners: having more than one tRNA (with a specific anti-codon) for a particular amino acid; and 'wobble' base-pairing, i.e. permitting non-standard base-pairing at the 3rd anti-codon position. The record is from Rfam by way of RNAcentral. Lineage: Eukaryota; Metazoa; Chordata; Mammalia; Artiodactyla; Camelidae. RNAcentral also lists the same sequence under 2 other names.